AAGCCUUCCCUCUCUGCCUACCCAAAAGCCACAGAGUACACGGCAUUCAACUCCUUUUUUUUUUCCCAAAACCCAAAAUUAUUUAUUACCCCAAUUCCCCAACCCCCAACAACUUCCCUCUCAGAUAUUUACUUCCAGAUUUUCUCACCCUUCUUCAUAAAUUGUAUAACCAAAAAUAAUUCUCUCCUCAACCUUCAUAAAUCCUCUCUUUCUUUCUUCAUUUUUUUUUACGUUAAGUUUUUCUAAAACUCACUCCCAACCUCUUAAUCUACUUCCCUUUCCCAAGUGAUUGGAGUUUCAGCAAGAAUCAACAACAAAAUUUGGAAGCGGGUGACGGUGACGGUGACCGACAAACAGUGAAAAAAAUUGGCCUUGUUAUUUUUCGGUGAACCUGUAAAAAAACGUUAUGGAUGCAAGACAAUUUUACCUUAGAUCGGCUAACCCAUCAAUGUUCGAGUUUCAGCCGAGGCACCGAUGCGUAUCUAUUUGGAACGACCAAAACUUUGAUGCUUGACUUAGGAUAUCUAUAUAUGACGGUCAAAUGUACAGAGCAAAAUUUUGAAUUUAUGCCGUAUCAGCACAUUUUGUCGUAUCUACCUGGUUAUUGUGAGGAUGGAGUAGGGAUGUGGACCGUUGCAUGGCAUAGAUGGCCGUUCGGGAUGAAUUAGUGAUGAUCGGGACGAAUUCAGAUGCAUUCAUUCAGGUGUAUGUCAUUGACUUCGAGGACCACUUUAGAUGAUCCAACUGCUGACCGAGAUGCAGCAUUGAUUUAUAUUUGUGAUAUGUGUCAGACUAAUUUAGCUCAGAAUAAUUGUGAUUUUAUUGUCAAUGUACAUGGUGAGGAUUACUAUGCUAUCUGCGAAGAAGACAUUGUACAGGCUCGUCGCAUGGAUAGAAGACGACAACGUCAUAACAUGAUGGGUGGUCAUGCGAGAGGUGGACGUGGGGGGCAUGGGGUUGAGGAUGAGGAUGAAGGUGAGGAAGCACAAGAGGAAUCAAAUGAGGAGGCAACUGCAAGAGAUUCGAUUAGCGGUUGAUAAUGUUGGUAGCAGUUACCAUCACAACACCGAUAUAAGUCAAAGUAGCAGAUCACAGUACGAUAAUGUUGGUAGCAGUGGUGUGUUUACGCAGUUCGCAAGCAGUGGUAGUCAAUUCGCGUUCAAUCAAUACGCUACCCCGUCUAAUGACAUUUAUCAUCAUUCUCAAUCACCAAUGGUGUACGCCUCCCCACAUACGAGUCUGGUUAUCCCACGACCGGAAUUUAACAAUAAUGAACCAGCAUACUAUCCCAUUAUAGAUUUUCAAGCAUGGCAAGUCUCCAACCAAUAUGGGAUGGGAUUAGAAUUCCGACUUGCACCGCCAAAUGAUUCCAAGAGAGAAGAUGAUGAGGACGAUAUCCCGUUAACGCGAACGCGAGUGACACUAAGUUGUGGAAUUCAUUCUUGAAGAAUGUAUUAGUUAUCAUUUAUGUUAUUAUGGAAUGUCAAGAUAUUUGGACAACUAAUUAUAUAACUAAAAUUUAUAUU
Molecule: long non-coding RNA, 1526 nt
Organism: Ipomoea triloba (trilobed morning glory)
Lineage: Eukaryota; Viridiplantae; Streptophyta; Magnoliopsida; Solanales; Convolvulaceae
Exons: 3
Source: RefSeq, a predicted model, not a curated record